GAUGAACGCUGGCGGCGUGCCUAAUACAUGCAAGUCGAGCGAACAGACGAGGAGCUUGCUCCUCUGACGUUAGCGGCGGACGGGUGAGUAACACGUGGAUAACCUACCUAUAAGACUGGGAUAACUUCGGGAAACCGGAGCUAAUACCGGAUAAUAUAUUGAACCGCAUGGUUCAAUAGUGAAAGACGGUUUUGCUGUCACUUAUAGAUGGAUCCGCGCCGCAUUAGCUAGUUGGUAAGGUAACGGCUUACCAAGGCAACGAUGCGUAGCCGACCUGAGAGGGUGAUCGGCCACACUGGAACUGAGACCCGGUCCAGACUCCUACGGGAGGCAGCAGUAGGGAAUCUUCCGCAAUGGGCGAAAGCUUGACGGAGCAACGCCGCGUGAGUGAUGAAGGUCUUCGGAUCGUAAAACUCUGUUAUUAGGGAAGAACAAAUGUGUAAUUAACUAUGCACGUCUUGACGGUACCUAAUCAGAAAGCCACGGCUAACUACGUG
RNAcentral lists this ribosomal RNA (497 nucleotides) under uncultured bacterium. RNAcentral's name for it is "partial 16S ribosomal RNA". It matches the Rfam family "Bacterial small subunit ribosomal RNA", at positions 28 to 507 of the family's 1533-position model. The record is from RNAcentral.